RNAcentral lists this microRNA precursor (52 nucleotides) under Pan troglodytes (chimpanzee). RNAcentral describes it as "mir-1302 microRNA precursor family". It matches the Rfam family "mir-1302 microRNA precursor family". The record is from Rfam by way of RNAcentral. Lineage: Eukaryota; Metazoa; Chordata; Mammalia; Primates; Hominidae.
UUUUCAGUGUAAGUAUAUCCCAUGCAAUAUUUGGGACAUGCGUAUACUAAAA